UGGGGCGUAAAGCGCGCGUAGGCGGCUUGGCAAGUUGGAUGUGAAAGCCCUGGGCUCAACCCAGGAUGUGCAUUCAAAACUGCCUGGCUUGAAGCUCGGAGGGGGUAAGGGAAUUCCCGGUGUAGAGGUGAAAUUCGUAGAUAUCGGGAGGAACACCAGUGGCGAAGGCGCUGACCGGGACGAUGAUUGACGCUGAGGCGCGAAAGCGUGGGGAGCAAACAG
RNAcentral lists this ribosomal RNA (222 nucleotides) under uncultured bacterium. RNAcentral's name for it is "partial 16S ribosomal RNA". It matches the Rfam family "Bacterial small subunit ribosomal RNA", at positions 556 to 775 of the family's 1533-position model. The record is from RNAcentral.